This 550-nucleotide long non-coding RNA is filed under the name Sorghum bicolor (sorghum). RNAcentral's name for it is "long non-coding RNA (SBIC_LNC017441)". The record is from RNAcentral. Lineage: Eukaryota; Viridiplantae; Streptophyta; Magnoliopsida; Poales; Poaceae.
AAAUGGAGAUUAUAGAGAUAGUGAUGUACAAAGAGAAAGGUUAGGGAUACAUAUAGAAUAAAAGAUAUAGAGAUAGAUAGCAAAAUAAAUUAAAUUGUUGUCUUGGCAAAAUAAAUUAAUAUAUAUAUGCCACUUAACAACCCAAGGCAAGAUGCAGAGCCUUGGUAAUUAUAUUGCUUCUCUUUGUAUUUCUUGUGCAAUGUAAGUGUCUCAUCAUUCUUUAUCUUUGAAUUUUUCUUGAUGUGCAUAUAUAUACUACAUCCUCACGAACACAUAAUCUAUCAGGUCGUCCUCACGAGGACAUCGAUUUUGGAACUACAAGGGGCCGAGCUGCUUUUAGUCUCACCGGAACUGGAUAUUGUGACAUGGAGCGCCAAAAUAAUAAAGUGGUCUACUGCUGCUCACAUCCAAUGCCAAAACAUUGUUAUAACACUUUUCAGCAGUGUCAGGCCAAUUGCUAUGUUCGUAAUCGCAACUGAUUCCCCAUGCAGUCAAUGAUACAUAAUCUGAGCAAUCUUCAGGUCCAUUUGAUUCACUACUACAGAAAUAU